CUCCUUUUUCUAAUGAUGUUUGAAAAACUCCAAACUUUUUUUAGACCCAUUUUUGCAGAUUUAAUAUAUAUCCUGUCCCUGUCGGCUUCUUUUUAGGAAACCAACGCAUUAAAAUAGGAUAUGUUAUAGUAGGAAUUCUGAUAUGGAAGCGUUACAGGAUCUGGAAGAAAAACCGCCGUCCCACUGAAAAGACAGAGGAUGAACCCAAAGAACAAAAAAAGUCUCCAAAAACAGUUCCACGUGAAGACUUUGAGAAAAUCGAGUCCCUGAAUGUGAUUGUUAAGGAUAUAUGGCAUCUUCUUUCCAAAUACGUGGAAAAGAUGAUUCGAGAGAGGAUUCAGCCUGACAUACGCGCCAAAAGCAAUUAUCUUGCCUCGUUCCGUUUCAUCAAUAUCGAUUUUGGCAAGAAGGUAAUGAUCUCUUUCUGUACUUGGGUUAUUCCUCUUCUUGUAAAUAGAUUUCUUGUAACACCCCAAUCUUUAUGCUCAGCCCCCACAGGUAAAGUCUUGGAAAACUCAUGCGGAUCCAGAAAAAAAGCAAAUAAUGUUGGAUCUCGAUAUCAGGUACAUUUCAAACACCCCUUUUUUCUAAUUCCUUUGCCCACUCUGAAAUGUCCCUUCCUUACAUAAUUGUCUUUUGCUCCUUUUUUCAGUUAUAAUGCCGACAUAAAGGUGGAUGCUGGUUUUACGGAAAAAACCCGAUAGCCGGCAUCAAAUCUAUAAAGGUGAGUCUACCAGUCUUAUAUCGCGUACGUUAGCUGCUUCCUUUGCAUUUAUUAUAUAUAUAAACAUUACUUUCUCUUUUGCAGCUGGAGGGAAUCUUGCGGGUAAUUUUGGCACCGCUGAUGGAGGACUCACCCAUAUUUGGAGCACUGACCGUUUAUUUCCCUCAUCGUCCAGUAAGUUAAGAUUUGGAGCUGGUAAGAUGAAGGUAGAAUUCAUAUGUAGUUAGGAAACCGUUGAUAUUUCUAGUUCUGUAGUCUGAACUCUUCAAUGUGACUGUGCAUUUAUUGCAGGUAUUGGAACUACAAUGGACUGGAUUUGCCCACCUACUGAAUAUUCCUGGACUUCAGUAAGUUGACUUAUAUGUACUCAUACUCUGCCCUUCCUUUCCCAGCUAUUGCUUUUGUCUUUAAUCAAAAACGUUAUUGCGCUUUAUUCCUCUCCCAAUUCCCUACCUGCUCUAUCUAGCUUAUUUGUACAUUGGAAUAACAUACAUAUUUCCUUCUCCCAUCUCCUUCAGAACGCUGUCGGAAAAAGAGCUUGUGAACCAAAUCGGACAGAUCAUCAUUGCGCCGCAGCAUUUCAGCCAUCCCCUUGCAGCCAGAUUUGAUUUGGCUAAGCUGCAGUUUUUAGAACCCAGGGUAAGGCCUAGUUUGUAUUUUAUAGCCUUCCUGCUUCCCUGUAGAGAGUCAAGGGGGCAAAUUCACUAAGAUUCGUUGUUGCGCCAGCGUCCGCUUCGCCGCACUUUGCCUGGCGUA
This is a long non-coding RNA of Xenopus laevis (African clawed frog), 1480 nucleotides long. RefSeq lists it as uncharacterized. The record is from RefSeq and is a predicted model, not a curated record. The transcript has 3 exons. NCBI's taxonomy places the organism in Eukaryota, Metazoa, Chordata, Amphibia, Anura, Pipidae.